GGUUAAGUUAGAAAGGGCGCACGGUGAAUGCCUUGGCACUAGGAGCCGAUGAAGGACGGGACUAACACCGAUAUGCUUCGGGGAGCUGUAAGUGAGCUUUGAUCCGGAGAUUUCCGAAUGGGGGAAACCCACUGUUCGUAAUGGAACAGUAUCUUUAUCUGAAUACAUAGGAUAUUGAAGGCAGACCCGGGGAACUGAAACAUCUAAGUACCCGGAGGAAGAGAAAGCAAAUGCGAUUUCCUGAGUAGCGGCGAGCGAAACGGAAUUAGCCCAAACCAAGAGGCUUGCCUCUUGGGGUUGUAGGACACUCUAUACGGAGUUACAAAGGAACGAAGUAAAUGAAGCGACCUGGAAAGGUCCGUCGAAGAAGGUAACAACCCUGUAGUUGAAACUUCGUUCCCUCUUGAGUGGAUCCUGAGUACGGCGGAACACGUGAAAUUCCGUCGGAAGCUGGGAGGACCAUCUCCCAAGGCUAAAUACUACCUAGUGACCGAUAGUGAACCAGUACCGUGAGGGAAAGGUGAAAAGCACCCCGGAAGGGGAGUGAAAGAGAUCCUGAAACCGUGUGCCUACAAGUAGUCAGAGCCCGUUAACGGGUGAUGGCGUGCCUUUUGUAGAAUGAACCGGCGAGUUACGAUCCCAUGCAAGGUUAAGCUGAUAAGGCGGAGCCGUAGCGAAAGCAAGUCUGAAUAGGGCGUUUAGUAUGUGGUUGUAGACCCGAAACCAGGUGAUCUACCCAUGUCCAGGGUGAAGUUCAGGUAACACUGAAUGGAGGCCCGAACCCACGCACGUUGAAAAGUGCGGGGAUGAGGUGUGGGUAGCGGAGAAAUUCCAAUCGAACCUGGAGAUAGCUGGUUCUCUCCGAAAUAGCUUUAGGGCUAGCCUCAUGUUGUGAGAGUCUUGGAGGUAGAGCACUGAUUGGACUAGGGGCCCCCAACGGGUUACCGAAUUCAGUCAAACUCCGAAUGCCAAAGACUUAUCCAUGGGAGUCAGACUGCGAGUGAUAAGAUCCGUAGUCAAAAGGGAAACAGCCCAGACCACCAGCUAAGGUCCCCAAGUAUACGUUAAGUGGAAAAGGAUGUGGAGUUGCUUAGACAACCAGGAUGUUGGCUUAGAAGCAGCCACCAUUUAAAGAGUGCGUAAUAGCUCACUGGUCGAGUGACUCUGCGCCGAAAAUGUACCGGGGCUAAACGUAUCACCGAAGCUGUGGAUUGACAUCUUUGAUGUCAGUGGUAGGAGAGCGUUCUAAGUGCUGUGAAGUCAGACCGUAAGGACUGGUGGAGCGCUUAGAAGUGAGAAUGCCGGUAUGAGUAGCGAAAGACAAGUGAGAAUCUUGUCCACCGAAUGCCUAAGGUUUCCUGAGGAAGGCUCGUCCGCUCAGGGUUAGUCGGGACCUAAGCCGAGGCUGAAAAGCGUAGGCGAUGGCCAACAGGUUGAUAUUCCUGUACCACCUCCCCGCCGUUUGAGUAAUGGGGGGACGCAGUAGGAUAGGGUAAGCGCGCUGCUGGAUAUGCGCGUUCAAGCAGUUAGGCUGAUGAGUAGGCAAAUCCGCUCAUCAUGAAGGCUGAGCUGUGAUGACGAGGGAAUUAUAGUACCGAAGUUCCUGAUUCCACACUGCCAAGAAAAGCCUCUAGCGAGGCGGGAGGUGCCCGUACCGCAAACCGACACAGGUAGGCGAGGAGAGAAUCCUAAGGUGAUCGAGAGAACUCUCGUUAAGGAACUCGGCAAAAUGACCCCGUAACUUCGGGAGAAGGGGUGCUCUGGUAGGGUGUAUAGCCCGAGAGAGCCGCAGUGAAUAGGCCCAGGCGACUGUUUAGCAAAAACACAGGUCUCUGCGAAGCCGCAAGGCGAAGUAUAGGGGCUGACGCCUGCCCGGUGCUGGAAGGUUAAGAGGAGGGGUUAUCCUUUGGGAGAAGCUCUGAAUCGAAGCCCCAGUAAACGGCGGCCGUAACUAUAACGGUCCUAAGGUAGCGAAAUUCCUUGUCGGGUAAGUUCCGACCCGCACGAAAGGCGUAACGAUCUGGGCACUGUCUCAACGAGAGACUCGGUGAAAUUAUAGUACCUGUGAAGAUGCAGGUUACCCGCGACAGGACGGAAAGACCCCGUGGAGCUUUACUGUAGCCUGAUAUUGAAUUUUGGUACAGCUUGUACAGGAUAGGUAGGAGCCUGAGAAGCCGGAGCGCUAGCUUCGGUGGAGGCGUCGGUGGGAUACUACCCUGGCUGUAUUGAAAUUCUAACCCGCGGCCCUGAUCGGGCCGGGAGACAGUGUCAGGUGGGCAGUUUGACUGGGGCGGUCGCCUCCUAAAAUGUAACGGAGGCGCCCAAAGGUUCCCUCAGAAUGGUUGGAAAUCAUUCGUAGAGUGUAAAGGCACAAGGGAGCUUGACUGCGAGACCUACAAGUCGAGCAGGGACGAAAGUCGGGCUUAGUGAUCCGGUGGUUCCGCAUGGAAGGGCCAUCGCUCAACGGAUAAAAGCUACCCCGGGGAUAACAGGCUUAUCUCCCCCAAGAGUCCACAUCGACGGGGAGGUUUGGCACCUCGAUGUCGGCUCAUCGCAUCCUGGGGCUGUAGUCGGUCCCAAGGGUUGGGCUGUUCGCCCAUUAAAGCGGUACGCGAGCUGGGUUCAGAACGUCGUGAGACAGUUCGGUCCCUAUCCGUCGUGGGCGUAGGAAAUUUGAGAGGAGCUGUCCUUAGUACGAGAGGACCGGGAUGGACACACCGCUGGUGUACCAGUUGUCUUGCCAAAGGCAUCGCUGGGUAGCUAUGUGUGGACGGGAUAAGUGCUGAAAGCAUCUAAGCAUGAAGCCCCCCUCAAGAUGAGAUUUCCCAUAGCGCAAGCUAGUAAGAUCCCUGAAAGAUGAUCAGGUUGAUAGGUCAGAGGUGGAAGCGUGGCGACAUGUGUAGCUGACUGAUACUAAUCGAUCGAGGACUUAACCAA
RNAcentral lists this ribosomal RNA (2937 nucleotides) under Priestia megaterium. RNAcentral describes it as "23S ribosomal RNA". It matches the Rfam family "Bacterial large subunit ribosomal RNA". Lineage: Bacteria; Bacillati; Bacillota; Bacilli; Caryophanales; Bacillaceae. The record is from RNAcentral.